Non-coding RNA from Triticum urartu, 135 nucleotides. NCBI's taxonomy places the organism in Eukaryota, Viridiplantae, Streptophyta, Magnoliopsida, Poales, Poaceae. The record is from Rfam.
CAUGUACUCCCUCCGUUCCGAAUUACUUGUUUUGGAUUUGUCUAGACACGGAGGUAUCUAGCACUAAAAUGAGUCUAGAUACAUCCGUAUCUAGACAAAUCCAAGACAAGUAAUUCGGAACGGAGGGAGUACACC